UACGUAGGCAGCAAGCGUUGUUCGGAAUUACUGGGCGUAAAGCGAGUGUAGGUGGUUUUCCAAGUUGGAUGUGAAAGCCUUGAGCUCAACUCAAGAAAUGCAUUCAGGACUGGAUGACUAGAGGACCGGAGAGGAUAGUGGAAUUCCCAGUGUAGUGGUGAAAUACGUAGAGAUUGGGAAGAACACCAGUGGCGAGGGCGGCUAUCUGGACGGUUUCUGACACUAAGACUCGAAAGCGUGGGGAGCAAACAGG
Molecule: ribosomal RNA, 253 nt
Filed under: uncultured bacterium
Lineage: Bacteria
Description: partial 16S ribosomal RNA
Rfam family: Bacterial small subunit ribosomal RNA
Source: RNAcentral